UACGUAGGUGGCAAGCGUUAUCCGGAUUUAUUGGGUUUAAAGGGUGCGUAGGCGGAAUAUCAAGUCAGCGGUAAAAAUUCGGGGCUCAACCCCGGCCUGCCGUUGAAACUGGCGGCCUCGAGUGGGCGAGAAGUAUGCGGAAUGCGUGGUGUAGCGGUGAAAUGCAUAGAUAUCACGCAGAACUCCGAUUGCGAAGGCAGCAUACCGGCGCCCAACUGACGCUGAGGCACGAAAGCGUGGGUAUCGAACAGG
RNAcentral lists this ribosomal RNA (252 nucleotides) under uncultured Bacteroidales bacterium. Its description in RNAcentral is "partial 16S ribosomal RNA". It matches the Rfam family "Bacterial small subunit ribosomal RNA", at positions 524 to 776 of the family's 1533-position model. Lineage: Bacteria; Pseudomonadati; Bacteroidota; Bacteroidia; Bacteroidales. The record is from RNAcentral.